This is a long non-coding RNA of Canis lupus familiaris (dog), 997 nucleotides long. RefSeq lists it as uncharacterized. NCBI's taxonomy places the organism in Eukaryota, Metazoa, Chordata, Mammalia, Carnivora, Canidae. The record is from RefSeq and is a predicted model, not a curated record. The transcript has 3 exons.
UUCCCAGACCUGGAGGUGGACUGAGAACCAGCCACAGCUUAGUGCACUUGCGGGGAACUGAUAACUGCACAUAACACAAUCACAACGGACAUGGAACCCGGUACCGCUGCCAAAGACCGAGCCAGACCUGACUAUUGCUAUGGAAAGCCCUCCAAGCUGUGCUUAAGUGACCCUGGCCGAGAUCCUCACCUCUCUAAUCUCAGUGACCUCUUCUGCAAAAUGAACUGCUGGGAGGAAUAAAUGAGACACUGCAUGAAACACGCUUGGCACACACAAAGGACCAAGGCAUCGGCCAGCAGCUGGACCCAGUUCUGCUGAGUGGUUCUUUCUCCUGGCCCUUCCUGGGCCCUCUGGUCCUGAUCCUACUCUGCUUCUUCAGGAACCACUUUGGACACUUCCUGGAAGAGAAGUUUCCUUCCAAUUGCUAAACAACACCAUGACAUCUGCAGGCCUCUCAGCCCAAAGGUUUGAUUUUCUGAGAAAUUCACUCUGGUGUCUUGGGAAGCUGACCGCACUGGUUGGCUGCUAUUUCUGGAAGCGUCAGCUAUGAUCAUCCCAAAGCUUUCAAAGUGAGCCACAUUCUUGACUCGUAAGUGCUUUAGGUCAUGAGUUCAAGGAGUGUCUGCCUCUUUCCACGGAGAAUCUCUAGUCAGUGUAAGGGGUACGGAACCCAUCUGCAAAUAAAAAGACAGAGACAAUUAAAAAAAUAAAAGAAAACUAAUUGAUGAUUCUUCUACCUACAAUGUGGCCCUACUGUAUUCACUAACAUCCUACAACACAACUAACAUUUUUAUAAGAAUUUGAGGGCAAGUUUUGUAACUAUAGGAACAAGGCAACUAAUAUAUUAAGAGAACGUAAGAAAAAUUUCACCGCUAGUAUUUACCAUAGUCAGUCAUGCUAUGGGUCUUAGUCACUGAAUGAGAAAGGUUCGUUUGUUUUUUUGAGGGAAUAUAUGCCAAUUAAGUGAAUAUAAAAUAGAAGAUGAUUUUUAAAUAAA